Molecule: long non-coding RNA, 971 nt
Filed under: Ananas comosus (pineapple)
Lineage: Eukaryota; Viridiplantae; Streptophyta; Magnoliopsida; Poales; Bromeliaceae
Description: long non-coding RNA (ACOM_LNC042830)
Source: RNAcentral
UAUUCUCAACAAUUGCAAAUAUUAAGCCCUCUUCUUCUGUUGGAUUUGAUACAUCCUUUGAUGCCAUCACGAUUUGCGACGCCAAUCCAUCAACGCUUGAUGUGGAUUCUUCUCCAAAUAAUCCUAAUUUUAUCUAAUAAAAAUACAAGGAUUCGUAGAUCCCAAUAAAAUGGCACGCAGGCCCUUCGUGAUAAAAAAAUAUAUACAACCAUAAUUAAAUUACAAAUACACCCAUAAUCAAAUUACAAAUACAUCCAUAAUCACAUUACAAAUACAUCCAUAAUCACAUCACAGAAGUCUAAGGUCCAUGAUCAUCACCCAUCUAAAAACUAUGCAGAAAAUAAUAACCAAAUCGAUCUAAUCAUCGAUUAAAAAAUUAGAACUCAAUAAUAUGUUUUUCUCAAGUCUCCACGUAUUUAUUUUAUGGUGUGAAACCAAUAAAUCACACUACGUGCAAUCUAAGAAAAACAAUAUCGAUCUCAUCGAAAACGGUUCCAAAAUUUCAAUCAAACCAUACAGAUCGUAAAUAUUUUACAUAGAACAUGAGAACCUGGCUCUGAUACCACUGUAAGAAAAUGUCCGGCACAAAAAUCACAACGGAAAAUAAAUAUCGUGUUUUCGAAAAACAAAAAUCCAUAUCACAUAUGAACCAAAAUAAAACAAAUCAAUCCAGUGCCGGUGGAUCAUUCUCAUGUUGCAAUGUAAAAUAAAAUCUAACCUAAACAGAUUUAAAGUUCAGGUUACAUUACCUCGGACCAGUUAAGGUCUCUUGAUCUACUGUACGGUUGAAAUUGAGAUUCCGAUUAGCCGCGCACGUGCCCGGCCUCUACGUGUAUCCACACGGAAUUGAUCUAGAUCCAACGCCUUCCGUCGCACGGAACUGAUGAGUCGCGGAUUACAAAGACGGUGCUAGCAGUCUCGUGAUAUCCACAUUCGCCUUUUGUGAGAUGUACUAAUUUUUGAAAAAUUAG